This 750-nucleotide long non-coding RNA is filed under the name Chinchilla lanigera (long-tailed chinchilla). RNAcentral's name for it is "lncRNA (ENSCLAG00000027130.1)". The record is from RNAcentral. Lineage: Eukaryota; Metazoa; Chordata; Mammalia; Rodentia; Chinchillidae.
UUGGUUUAUAGCAGUCUGUUUUUAGUAGUGGUAUUUUCACUUAUAGGAUAUAGUUACCAAUUGCUGAAAAUUAAAUGAACACUGGUGCACUUUUUUUUUUUUUUUUUUUUGGUAAACAGGAAAUGGUCAAAUGGUUAAAAGUUAUCACUCCCAGGGCCAGGGAAGGGCAGGGAACAGCAACAAGAAGCUUAGCAUGUCAGAGUGAGGGUGCCUUUCAUGUCGCAUGACUCCACGGCUUCUCCAGGCGUGGUGCACGGAGCACCCGCAGCAGACCUGGCGGAAUCUAACACGCAGAUUCCCGGGCCCAAGCCCAGGGCUACGGGUUCAGAGUCUUUGGGAGGUGGGGCAGGCAGGAAUCUGCAUUGUCGGAGAGUUUGGGGCAUUUCUGAGAAGUUUGCAGUUGGGGACUCCUGCCUGCCUACUCGAUGCUUUCUCACAACGGGCCACACACAGCCGCACAAAGCAGCCUGUUUCCGGGCUCCGACUGCGGCCGUUGGAAGGUUUAUUCUAUGGGCGCGGCUCUGCCUCCCUGAGGCUGCACUCUCGGUCUUGCCUCUUCGCAAUGACGGAAUCCUUUUAACCCUCUUCUACAGGCGACCUCGCAGUCUUCAAGUACCUGUGGCAUCCUCGCCGUCUAAGCCCCGCUUCGAGUGGCUCACCCUCCUUACUAGGCUGUCUCUGUUCCUUCCGCUCGUCCUCCAGGGCCACCAGCACGCCGGGAGGAUGGACGAGAUUCUUCAAGAUUCAUAG